GACGAACGCUCGCGGCGUGCCUAAUACAUGCAAGUAGAACGCUGAAGGAGGAGCUUGCUCUUCUGGAUGAGUUGCGAACGGGUGAGUAACGCGUAGGUAACCUGCCUGGUAGCGGGGGAUAACUAUUGGAAACGAUAGCUAAUACCGCAUAAGAGUAGAUGUUGCAUGACAUUUGCUUAAAAGGUGCAAUUGCAUCACUACCAGAUGGACCUGCGUUGUAUUAGCUAGUUGGUGGGGUAACGGCUCACCAAGGCGACGAUACAUAGCCGACCUGAGAGGGUGAUCGGCCACACUGGGACUGAGACACGGCCCAGACUCCUACGGGAGGCAGCAGUAGGGAAUCUUCGGCAAUGGACGGAAGUCUGACCGAGCAACGCCGCGUGAGUGAAGAAGGUUUUCGGAUCGUAAAGCUCUGUUGUAAGAGAAGAACGAGUGUGAGAGUGGAAAGUUCACACUGUGACGGUAUCUUACCAGAAAGGGACGGCUAACUACGUG
RNAcentral lists this ribosomal RNA (495 nucleotides) under uncultured bacterium. Its description in RNAcentral is "partial 16S ribosomal RNA". It matches the Rfam family "Bacterial small subunit ribosomal RNA", at positions 28 to 507 of the family's 1533-position model. The record is from RNAcentral.